Subdoligranulum variabile DSM 15176 is the source of this 66-nucleotide non-coding RNA. The record is from Rfam. Lineage: Bacteria; Bacillati; Bacillota; Clostridia; Eubacteriales; Oscillospiraceae.
UGCCGAAACCGCCAGAGAUGGCGGUCUGCCGGGGAUGGCCGCCCGGUACUGAUGAGGCAGGCCAAG